This is a small nuclear RNA of Neomonachus schauinslandi (Hawaiian monk seal), 138 nucleotides long. RefSeq annotates it as U4 spliceosomal RNA. The transcript has a single exon. The record is from RefSeq and is a predicted model, not a curated record. NCBI's taxonomy places the organism in Eukaryota, Metazoa, Chordata, Mammalia, Carnivora, Phocidae.
AGCUUCGCGCAGUGGCAGGAUCGUAGCCAAUGAGGUUUAUCCGAGGCGCAAUUAUUGCUAAUUGAAAAGUAUUUGCGGGCCGGUAGGACUUCAAAACUCAGGAAAAAAAAAAUGAAAGACUGUAAGGCAGCAGAUAGU